Molecule: non-coding RNA, 100 nt
Organism: Acanthosepion pharaonis
Lineage: Eukaryota; Metazoa; Mollusca; Cephalopoda; Sepiida; Sepiidae
Source: the annotation of a GenBank genome assembly
UGCUACCAUACUAUAUUUAAACACCGGUUUCCGUACAACAACCGAAGUUAAGCAACGUCGAGCCUGGUCUGUACUCAGACGGGUGACCACUUGGGAAUAC